ACAUCCAGAGAAUUUAGCAGAGAUGCUUUAGUGCCUUCGGGAACUCUGAGACAGGUGCUGCAUGGCUGUCGUCAGCUCGUGUUGUGAAAUGUUGGUUAGGUCCCGNAACGAGCGCAACCCUAUCCUUUGUUGCCAGCGAUUCGGUCGGGAACUCAAAGGAGACUGCCGGUGAUAAACCGGAGGAAGGUGGGGAUGACGUCAAGUCAUCAUGGCCCUUACGAGUAGGGCCACACACGUGCUACAAUGGCGCAUACAAAGAGAAGCGACCUCGCGAGAGCAAGCGGACCUCAUAAAGUGCGUCGUAGUCCGGAUUGGAGUCUGCAACUCGACUCCAUGAAGUCGGAAUCGCUAGUAAUCGUAGAUCAGAAUGCUACGGUGAAUACGUUCCCGGGCCUUGUACACACCGCCCGUCACACCAUGGGAGUGGGUUGCAAAAGAAGUAGAUAGCUUAACCUUCGGGAGGGCGUUUACCACUUUGUGAUUCAUGACUGGGGUGAAGUCGUAACAAGGUAAGCGUACGUGU
This 523-nucleotide ribosomal RNA is filed under the name uncultured bacterium. Its description in RNAcentral is "bacterial SSU rRNA". It matches the Rfam family "Bacterial small subunit ribosomal RNA", at positions 984 to 1509 of the family's 1533-position model. The record is from RNAcentral.